Molecule: ribosomal RNA, 402 nt
Filed under: Noturus funebris (black madtom)
Lineage: Eukaryota; Metazoa; Chordata; Actinopteri; Siluriformes; Ictaluridae
Description: partial 16S ribosomal RNA
Rfam family: Bacterial large subunit ribosomal RNA
Source: RNAcentral
UGAAUGGUGGAACGAGGGCUUAACUGUCUCCCCUCUCAAGUCAAUGAAAUUGAUCUGCCCGUGCAGAAGCGGGUAUACAAAUACAAGACGAGAAGACCCUUUGGAGCUUAAGAUACAAGAUCAACUAUGUCAAGAACCUAAUUAAACUAAAUAGCACCUGAUCCCAAUCUUCAGUUGGGGCGACCACGGAGAAAAUAAAGCUCCCACGCGGACCGGGGCAAUCACCCCAAAACCAAGAGAAACAGCUCUAAGUCGCAGAAUUUCUGACCAAAAAGAUCCGGCCUCCCCGCCGACCAGCGAACAAAGUUACCCUAGGGAUAACAGCGCAAUCCCCUUUCAGAGUCCAUAUCGACAAGGGGGUUUACGACCUCGAUGUUGGAUCAGGACAUCCUAAUGGUGCAG